CCUAGGGAGGCAGCAGUGAGGAAUAUUGGUCAAUGGUCGGGAGACUGAACCAGCCAAGCCGCGUGAGGGAGGAAGGUACAGAGUAUCGUAAACCUCUUUUGUCAGGGAACAAAGACUGGGCCGCGUCCCCGGAUGAGUGUACCUGUAGAAAAAGCAUCGGCUAACUUCGUGCCAGCAGCCGCGGUUAUACGGGGGAUGCGAGGGUUAACCGGAUUUAUUGGGGUUUAAGGGUGCGGAGGCGGUCUGUAAAGUCAGCGGUCAAAGCCCGGGGCUCAACCCCGGCCCGCCGUUGAAACUGGCAGUCUCGAGUUGGAGAGAAGUAUGCGGAAUGCGCGGUGUAGCGGUGAAAUGCAUAGAUAUCGCGCAGAACUCCGAUUGCGAAGGCAGCAUGCCGGCUCCACACUGACGCUGAGGCACGAAAGCGUGGGUAUCGAACAGGAUUAGAUACCCGGGUAGUC
This 458-nucleotide ribosomal RNA is filed under the name uncultured bacterium. RNAcentral describes it as "partial 16S ribosomal RNA". It matches the Rfam family "Bacterial small subunit ribosomal RNA", at positions 338 to 795 of the family's 1533-position model. The record is from RNAcentral.